AUUGAACGCUGGAGGUAUGCUUAACACAUGCAAGUCGAACGGUAACAGGCCGCUGUGAUUUCUUCGGAAUGAACUUGGCGCUGACGAGUGGCGGACGGGUGAGUAACGCGUAGGAAUAUACCUAGUAGUGGGGGAUAACAUGAAGAAAUUCAUGCUAAUACCGCAUACGUCUUACGAGAUAAAGAGGGCCUCUUCUUGAAAGCUCUUGCUAUUAGAUUAGCCUGCGUCGGAUUAGCUAGUUGGUGGGGUAAUGGCCUACCAAGGCGACGAUCCGUAGCUGGUCUGAGAGGAUGAUCAGCCACACUGGGACUGAGACACGGCCCAGACUCCUACGGGAGGCAGCAGUGGGGAAUAUUGGACAAUGGGCGCAAGCCUGAUCCAGC
This 383-nucleotide ribosomal RNA is filed under the name uncultured bacterium. RNAcentral describes it as "bacterial SSU rRNA". It matches the Rfam family "Bacterial small subunit ribosomal RNA", at positions 30 to 392 of the family's 1533-position model. The record is from RNAcentral.